AGCCAUGCAUGUCUAAGUACAAGCUGUGUUUGACACAGCGAGACCGCGGACGGCUCAUUAAAUCAGUCGUGGUCCAUAUGGGCCAGUGUUGAUCCUACUUGGACAACUGUGGUAAUUCCAGAGCUAAUACAUGCAACUCUUAUCCUGAAGGAGCACGGCAUUUACUUGUCGCUGUUCUCUGACGGAUGCUUUUAUUAGACCAAACCGCUGGGUGCGUGGUGUUUCACUUUAGGGUGUUCCCACGUUUGACUCGUGUGAUGGUGACUCUGAAUAACCUUUCUUGACAAGCGCAAGUACCCCUCUUAUGAGCUGGGACGGCGCUACCACUUUCGAGUGUCUGACUUAUCAGCUAUCAACCGUUCGUUAUGUGCGACCGAUGGCGUUGACGGGUAACGGGGAAUCAGAGUUCGAUUCCGGAGAGGCAGCCUGAGAGACGGCUACCACGUCCAAGGACGGCAGCAGGCACGCAAAUUACCCAAUCCCAGCAUCUGGGGGAGGUAGUGACGAAAUCUAACGAUGCGGGCGCCCUUUCUGGGGCCCCGCAAUCGGAAUGGCCAUUUUCUAAACAACCUGUUGAGAACCUACUGAAGGGCAAGUCUGGUGCCAGCAGCCGCGGUAAUUCCAGCUUCAGCAGCAUCUAUUAAAGUUGCUGCGGUUAAAAGGCUCGCAGUUGAAUGUCAGUACCGAGCGCAGGUCAGGUGGACGCUGGGGCGUGGGAACACAAGGCGCGUCGCUUCUCUGGUUCUGGUGUCUGCUCUCAUUCUGGUGCGUGUGUACCCCCGGGUGCGCGCGUGCUCGUGUGUGUUGCGUGUGCCAUGUUUCUUCGGGUUGCGUGCGUGUCUCUCACAAGC
RNAcentral lists this ribosomal RNA (851 nucleotides) under Alicella gigantea. RNAcentral's name for it is "bacterial SSU rRNA". It matches the Rfam family "Eukaryotic small subunit ribosomal RNA", at positions 47 to 743 of the family's 1831-position model. The record is from RNAcentral. Lineage: Eukaryota; Metazoa; Arthropoda; Malacostraca; Amphipoda; Alicellidae.